UACAGAGGGUGCGAGCGUUAAUCGGAAUUACUUGGGCGUAAAGGGUGCGUAGGCGGUUAUAUUAGUGUGAUGUGAAAGCCCUGGGCUUAACCUAGGAAGUGCAUCACAAACGGUAUAACUGGAGUAUAUGAGAGGGUGGCGGAAUUUCCGGUGUAGCGGUGAAAUGCGUAGAGAUCGGAAGGAACGUCGAUGGCGAAGGCAGCCACCUGGCAUAAUACUGACGCUGAGGCACGAAAGCGUGGGUAGCGAACAGG
Molecule: ribosomal RNA, 254 nt
Filed under: uncultured bacterium
Lineage: Bacteria
Description: partial 16S ribosomal RNA
Rfam family: Bacterial small subunit ribosomal RNA
Source: RNAcentral